This 303-nucleotide long non-coding RNA is filed under the name Capsicum annuum. RNAcentral describes it as "long non-coding RNA (CANN_LNC012336)". Lineage: Eukaryota; Viridiplantae; Streptophyta; Magnoliopsida; Solanales; Solanaceae. The record is from RNAcentral.
UUUGGUUGCAACUCUCUAGCCAUCACAGGUUGAGAAAAAACUAUAAACUGCAACUUUUUUUAAUCGAAAGUGCAAUGGCUCUUUGUACUGAACACUUUUUCCAAUAGCUCUUUGUCACUACCCAAUUCUUCCCCGAGAUUGAAUCCUUCCUCUUUCGAUUACCCAACUCUUUUGAGGUGUUUUUAUGUAUCAACCAUGUUCUAGUUAGAGCCUUCAUUAGUUAAAAGCAGUCCACUUGGCUGUUGCAUCUGUACCAUCAGCACAGCCUGUUGUAGUAGUGUAGAAAUGGUGCAAGCCGUCCAC